Molecule: ribosomal RNA, 629 nt
Filed under: Bacillus sp. IDA0206
Lineage: Bacteria; Bacillati; Bacillota; Bacilli; Caryophanales; Bacillaceae
Description: bacterial SSU rRNA
Rfam family: Bacterial small subunit ribosomal RNA
Source: RNAcentral
GUGCCUAAUACAUGCAAGUAGAGCGAAUCAUUGGGAGCUCUGCUCCCAUUGGUUAGCGGAGGACGGGCUGAGCAACACGUGGGCAACCUGCCUGUAAGACUGGGAUAACUUCGGGAAACCGGAGCUAAUACCGGAUAAUUCUUUUCCUCUCAUGAGGAAAAGCUGAAAGACGGUUUACGCUGACACUUACAGAUGGGCCCGCGGCGCAUUAGCUAGUUGGUGAGGUAACGGCAUCACCCCCGGCGCGAUGCGUAGCCGACCUGAGAGGGUGAUCGGCCACACUGGGACUGAGACACGGCCCAGACUCCUACGGGAGGCAGCAGUAGGGAAUCUUCCACAAUGGACGAAAGUCUGAUGGAGCAACGCCGCGCUGAGCGAUGAAGGCCUUCGGGUCGCAAAGCUCUGUUGUUAGGGAAGAACAAGUACCGGAGUAACUGCCGGUACCUUGACGGUACCUAACCAGAAAGUCACGGCUAACUACGUGCCAUCAGCCGCGGUAAUACGUAGGUGGCAAGCGUUGUCCGGAAUUAUUGGGCGUAAAGCGCGCGCAUGCGGUCCUUUAAGUCUGAUGUGAAAGCCACGGCUCAACCGUGGAUGGUCAUUGGAAACUGGUGGACUUGAGUGCAGAA